Molecule: ribosomal RNA, 416 nt
Filed under: uncultured microorganism
Description: bacterial SSU rRNA
Rfam family: Archaeal small subunit ribosomal RNA
Source: RNAcentral
GCGCACCAGGCGAGAAAACUUCACACUGUGCGAAAGCACGAUGAGGGAAUCCCAAGUGCUUGCACGUAAGUGUAAGCUGUUUCUCUGUCUAAAACGCAGAGAGAGUAAGGGCUGGGUAAGACGGGUGCCAGCCGCCGCGGUAAUACCUGCAGCUCAAGUGGUGACCGUUAUUAUUGGGGCCUAAAAACGUCCGUAGCCGGUUUAAUAAAUGCCUGGGUAAAUUGUGUAGCUUAACUAUACGAAUUCCGGGUAGACUGUUAAACUUGGGACCGGGAGAAGUUAGAGGUACUCCUGGGGUAGAGGUGAAAUUCUGUAAUCCUAGGGGGACCACCAGUGGCGAAGGCGUCUAACUAGAACGGGUCUGACGGUGAGGGACGAAGCCCUGGGGCGCAAACGGGAUUAGAUACCCCUGUAGU